GGAGGUGAACAUGCUUCAGUUCAUAAUUCGGUCUGGUCAAAGACAGUUUGAUUUCCUCUGACUUACCUGUGCAGGUAAACAGACUGAGUGUAAAAGCAGAAUCCCUGAACUGUGCCGACGCUGGAGGAUAAAUAAGAAGUUCUUCUUCUUCUCCUGUGAGAACCAAAAAUCCCUGUCACUCCUCCAGAAGGUCCAGAGAGCAGCAGCCAGGUCCAGAUCCUCAGGUGGGGCUCAUCUGUGUGCAUGUCGGCUUAUAAUCGGUCUGUCGUCACUCUUUGUGGUUCAGGAGGAAGUUUUCCUCUUUUUUUCAGUCUGCAGAAAUAUCCUGUCCUAACACGAAGACAUGAGAGGGUUUUUUUUAUGAGAGGUUUUUUCUUCUCAAGAAACAAACGUGCAUUUUCAAAAAUGUCAAAAGCUUCCUCCUCGUCUCCAAACUUUCGAAAAUGAACUCCUCUAUCUUCGAAAAUUGAAAACUGGAUGUCUCCAACAUUAUUACCGGCACAUUUUCCUGUAAUUUAGUCUGACAAUUUUUCUCAUUUCUUCGGAGACCUCCACUCCCUCUCAAUUUAAGAUAAAGCUCUGAGGGUUUGAAAGUGCUGGUCUACACAACACUGGGUUGUAAUAACGUACCCACCUCGACGGUUGAAGAGGCAAAUGUGGACUUUUAUUCGCGCGGCAGACCCUGUUGAAACUGUACAGCUGUGAAACCACAUAACAAUUACUUUUAAGAGAUGACCUGCUGGACCGGGUGGGAUGGGUGAGCAAUAUCAUAUCUCUACAACUCUCUUAUCCCCUCGCCUCCCAUCGUCUGUCAGCCUCCCCCCCGCCCCGCCCUCUCACUGCAUCAGCUCGGAGGUGAGCCGCCUCCCCGGACUGGAGGUGACCCCCCGGACCCUAUUAACAUCACACACGCUCCGAGUGUCCAAAGUCCACUCCCUAAAUGAAGUGUGGGCUCGCUCCCCCUCAGCCCACCGCUGGGUGAAUUAGAUUGCAGCUUUUUAAUACGGCUCUUAAUGGUUUAUAAAUUGCACGUAAUGAUUCCUCCUUUCCUCUCUCUCGCGGUGCGUUUUAUGGCCCCUCGGCUUUCGGAGGGAGUGGGUGGGAUUUAAUAUAUGGUGGAGGAGGCAGAAUGAGGAGGUGAAACUAGCCCUGCACGGCUCUCUGCCUGCCCUUAACGCCUCCCCUGGCUACAGAGGAGGGAGUCUCGGAAAUAACGCCGGACACUGAUACUAUCUGGCUGUAGCGUCUAACGGCGCGGACAUGACAGCGCCGCAUGACGAAGGGGUCACCAGAGGAGCGCAAAUAAUCAGAGCGGUGUUCGGUGGAGGGCUGAGACGGCGAUUUGUGGAGGAGGCCACACCUUAGGGGGAGACAAAAAGAGGCUCAUCCAGGAACACGCUGCAGAACCGAAAAAUGAACAAAAGAAGAAGAAGAAGAAGCAGGUCUUCGUGUGGAGGAGCUCUGCAGCAGGAAGUUUAAUUUACACCUCAUGGACAGAAGAGAGUCGACCUCCUCAUCAACUAGACGGAAAAAUAAAAUCUAUUUCUGGAUCAACCGAACCUGAGCAGCUGAACGUCAACGUAACGAGCUUUUAGGAGCAUUUAGGUUAUUUUUAACUUUAACGUGCCGAUCAGCGAGAACCUUCUGAUAGAUCUGAAAAUAAAACCCUGAAGGAAAUUAAAUUUAGAUAAUGAUCGUGUCCAAAUGAAGCGCUCUGAUAAAUAACAGAUCCUGCAGUCUGUUAAUGAGCGUCUGUUAUUUGAUACCGUCUUCAUUUUUGGACUUUAGGCUCCGUGCUGAAGUUUAUUGACCAGCUGACGGUUAUUUAACGUCUCCAGUUUUACGUUGUUGGUUUUUAUCCCCAUCGCUCAUCCUCCUGGAGCCUAGUUUAAAUUAUUACGAAUCUUCAUUAAAAUAUCAUUAAAUACAGAAAAAGACGCCGCAUAUGUAGGAGUUAAAUAGGUCCAAUAGGUGGCGCUAUCUCCAAGCCAAAAAUUAAUACAUGCGUGGAUCAGUUCAGGCCGGCUCCAUCGUCAUCAAACCGGCGAAACCCGAGCAGACUGGACAACGUAUGUAAAAGUCAUUACCAUGCACUUCCACAGGGUGGCGCUGUGACUGUAGAUGAGAAAAAGACGUGUUCGGGGGGUGGACCGUGAUCAUGUAUAUGAACGCUGAAGAAGGAAGUUAAAAUAACUUCCUGUUUAAUGUUGUGACACCAAAGUUGGAUGAGACUGUCACGACCCGAUCUGUCCCGGAAACCCGGUUUGUACUGAGCAUGUGCGAAAUCUACGUCACUUCCUCUCCUCGUAUUUUGAUGCAUUUUACAGCAGUUAGUUGUUACUUUAGCUACCUACCGGAUCUGUACUGUGCAAGAGCAGAUUUACAUCACCUUAAAAACUUUAUUUAAACUACUGAUCGUGACAGGCUAGCUAGCAGGAGGCUCCAGGGCUAAUGGCGAGGCAUUCGCCAGAGCUCCUGCCCAGAACAGUGAGACCUUUUGGGCCACAGAGAAAGCCGCCGCCCGGUGAAAAUGAUGGUUCUCUGACUUUUCAAAAUAUCAAGGAGGAUUUAUUUCAUUUAUUUUAUAAAUUAAAUUUAUUAAGAAGCCGACACAUUCUGGACAAUGAAUUUCAGUGUUUUAAUUUCAACACUGAAAUAUUCACAUUUAUUUAAGUCUUUUAGAACUACGCUGCAAUUUUACAAUUUAGCUGUAGUAGGAACCUUUAAUCGUGAAACUGGGUGCCUUUCUCUUGACUUUCCAGCGCUCUGUUCAGGGAAAAGUGUGUGGUUAGUGAUAAACUGAAUCAUCCGUUCUGACUGAAGCAAGUUGCUGAUGUCAAAACUGCUGCAAACUGUGAGGGGCAAAGAAUUGCUGAGCCGUCGCAAAGAUGGUUAGAAGAGGAAGUGACGUAUGUUUCUCACACACGCAGUACAAAUCGGGUUUCCAGGAUGGAUCGGUUAGCGACAGGGACGUAUAAUUCUGAUUUUUGGAUUUAAGUCCGUAGUUGAUCUGACGAGUCUCUUCAGUGACCCUCACUCUGAACUUUAAAACCCACUUUACAGAGUCGUGUUUUUCGCUUCUCUGAUGGUUUUAAAAAACAUGUUCAAUCUGCUCGACCGUCUCCUUUACAUCAAACGUUAAAACACGCCGUCCUCCACGAACACAGACUCCAGAGGACACGAUCAGCCGUGUGUAAUCUGCAUACAGUCAGCAUAUGUACACACACCUUAAAGUGGAUAUAGAUGCUGCUGAUAAUGAAAACACACACACACUCGUGUAUCACCAUGUGUAACACACACACACAUACACACACCUUUCCAGUGACACAGACUCCGCUCUGGUCUACGACAACGACAUGAUCUGCAUCUGAGAUUAAAAGGACUGCAGCUGCACGGACAAAAAAACUGUUAUUUUCUGUCCUCCGUUCAGUCCAGGGUGAAAAACGUGAACCCGGAGCUUCAUGCAUGUUUUUUUCACGCUCUCGUAAACGUCUCCUGGUUAGUUUUUGAGCUUUUGAACAAACAGCAGAAUCAUCGUGUUGAUUUCAUCGUAAACUUUUACAGAUGAGCUCAUCGCAGUUGUUGUUUUUAGUCGUUUUCUUGUGCAGCACUUUUCUGAAUGUAUUUUUACACCUUGCUGUGCAGUCCAGACGUCGCACCUUACACCUGAAUAGAGAGAGAGAGAAAUUCAUCUUUUCUGUGAUGUAACCAGCAAACCUGAACUCCUCCUGCGCCGGGCUGGGACCGCACGCUCCCUCAUGCUUCACUGUCUUUCCCACAUUUUCUUCGCGGUUCAAUAUUUUUGUAUUUGGAGGCUCCAAAGGUCACUGAGUAAUGUCGGCGCAGCUCCAGCGGAAAGACGACAUGCGUCUGAAACUUCACAGACGUAGUUUGAACUUUGAGGUGAGAGGGUUUACAAAAAAACAAAAAACAAAACAAAGAAAAGUGGAAAUUCAACGUGAAACCGCAGAGGUACUGAGUCCAGAACAUGAGAUUCAGAACCAGAGAAACAAAGAUGAUGAGACGAAUAAUAUCCUAAAAGGACAUGAAGUAACAGACUGACUCUCUGGUACAGCUUGUAAUGUGUCUAAUAGUGAAAUCUGGAAACAGAAAUCGUCUUUCUCUCUAAUUGUUUAUUCAUCCUAACACUUUGUUUCCUCUCUUGGCCUCCCUCACCGUCUGGGGACCCGUAAUUAAAGCAGAGUGGGAGGUUUUUAAUUCCUAACAUCGCACAAUAUGAACGGCAGCCAGCAGAAACCGGCGCCUUCCUCGACGCUUCGCUGCCACCCAGAAAAAUUCCAAUUAACCGAGUGAGAGG
Molecule: long non-coding RNA, 4318 nt
Filed under: Xyrichtys novacula (pearly razorfish)
Lineage: Eukaryota; Metazoa; Chordata; Actinopteri; Labriformes; Labridae
Source: RNAcentral